CUCCUUUGACGUUAGCGGCGGACGGGUGAGUAACACGUGGGUAACCUACCUAUAAGACUGGGAUAACUUCGGGAAACCGGAGCUAAUACCGGAUAAUAUUUCGAACCGCAUGGUUCGAUAGUGAAAGGUGGUUUUGCUAUCACUUAUAGAUGGACCCGCGCCGUAUUAGCUAGUUGGUAAGGUAACGGCUUACCAAGGCGACGAUACGUAGCCGACCUGAGAGGGUGAUCGGCCACACUGGAACUGAGACACGGUCCAGACUCCUACGGAGGCAGCAGUA
RNAcentral lists this ribosomal RNA (280 nucleotides) under uncultured Staphylococcus sp. Its description in RNAcentral is "partial 16S ribosomal RNA". It matches the Rfam family "Bacterial small subunit ribosomal RNA", at positions 81 to 355 of the family's 1533-position model. Lineage: Bacteria; Bacillati; Bacillota; Bacilli; Caryophanales; Staphylococcaceae. The record is from RNAcentral.